AAAAUGUCUCAAAUAUUUGAAUUAAAAAUGUCACAUGAUUAGUUGAAAAAAAAUUAUUAGAAAAAGAAAAACAUACUGGAGCACAACAGUAGUAUGUUAAUGAAAAAAUGUCAAAUCAUAAACAUUCAAAAUUGACUUAUUAUAAGGGGUCUUUAAUAUACGUGCUUGUUAGAUACUGAAAAUUAGGAAAUACAAGAGCAGACUUUCUCACAGCCCUUUCACUUCUCAAAUCACUGUUUAAUUGAACUAAGAAUAUACAAACAUGCAGAUAAAUUCUAAAUAUCCAGAGAGUCAAGCUCCCUAGCCCAAGCAAUACUGCUGAAGAAAAUUUAUAAAACUUAUCAUUUCCAUCCCUUUCUCCCUCUAUUUAUAGAUUCUUCAGCUCCUUUUAUCUGUUAGAAGAAUCUACGUGACUCUGUUUCUGCAUUCUGCUCGAACAGAAUUGGCUCUUCUAACCAUAUUCCAGCUCAGCAUUUCCAGAAGCUGUUACCGCUCCCUUCUUCUUCGAAAAUAUACUCUCAGUUCUCUUGGGCCCAACUUCUUGCCCUGAUUCAUAACAGAAGAAAACUACUUAAAUUGAAUGAUAUGAAAAGCUGCGAUGUAUUAUCAUAUCCAAUCUGAAUUUGGAGAAUCCUAAAAGUUCAAAGUUAAAAUUCUCUUCUUUAAAGGGUGCAUGGAUAUUUUCUGGAUAGGAGUCUGAAACUCAAAAGAAGAAUUUAGUCAUCUGGAGUUGUCCCCUAUAAAUAUUUUAGAUCCUUAUAUUUUUAGAUUACUACUUCUCAUAUUUGAUGAAACUAGAUCUGUUAUUUGCCCCAAUCUAAUGGUAAUGGACUUUCAACUGCCAUUGGCCAAAUUGCACUGAACCCUGUUGGAGUAUCCCAGUUAUGCUUCUCAGAAAAAUGGGAGGGGUUGAAUGAAGGGCCAUUAUAAUUAAAAGAAAAGGGGUAAAGUAAAAGUAGUAAUA
Molecule: unclassified non-coding RNA, 964 nt
Filed under: Hevea brasiliensis (rubber tree)
Lineage: Eukaryota; Viridiplantae; Streptophyta; Magnoliopsida; Malpighiales; Euphorbiaceae
Source: RNAcentral